UCUUCUUCUUCUUCUUCUUCUACUCAUGUGGGUAAUAAAGAAGAUGACAUUGUAAGGAAGAGCUCGGCAAAGCGUGGUGAUUUUAUCAUCCCACCUGAAUCAUCUAGAUAUCUUUUGAGCGAAAAGGAUUUUCUUGAUGGGUUAUCGGAUUAUGAUCCAGUUUUGGCAUUGGUUCCUACUGAACCCAAUAUGCCAUCAUCAGCUCAAGCUAAUUCCAAGCAACAAGAGUCUAUUUCAAAACCAUCUUCAAAUUCCAACUCUGAGAGGCCAUCAAACCAGGUUGAUUUUUUUUCCUCUUCUAUAAGAGAUCUCCCAAUGGUUCAAGAUGAAGAUGUUAGCUAAUAAAGUUCUUUUUAGAUGAUGAAUAGAUUAAAUUUUAUAUCAAAGAAAAAAUGAUAUGAAUUGGUUUGGCCCUGCAGGUUGUGGUUUUGAGAGUGUCACUGCACUGCAGAGGCUGUGAAGGAAAAGUGAGGAAACAUCUAUCUAGAAUGGAAGGUGUGAGAUCGUACAGCAUAGAUUUUGCAGCAAAGAAGGUGACAAUUGUAGGAGAUGUGACACCAUUAGGUGUGCUUGCGAGUGUAUCAAAGGUGAAGAAUGCCCAAUUUUGGACAUCUGCUGCAAACCCAGCUGCACCACUCUCCCAACUCAAGAAAUAAUUACUAAGAAAAAUUAUUUUUUUUUUUUUAUUAUGGCAGAACAGUUAAGUUUCAAUUUGGCGCUUGAGUUAGUGUAAAUGCAGUAUUUUAAAUAUGUAACUAGGAAGAAUAGCUGGAAGAGAAUCUUUGGUUAUUAGAAGUUGGUAUUCAAUGAAAGAAAGUCAAUUGGGCAGGGACCAUUUGGCCUGUCCCUGCCAGUUGCUAGUUAUGCUGUGGGUUUUUGUUUAAUUGUGGCAAAAGAAAAA
RNAcentral lists this unclassified non-coding RNA (901 nucleotides) under Hevea brasiliensis (rubber tree). The record is from RNAcentral. Lineage: Eukaryota; Viridiplantae; Streptophyta; Magnoliopsida; Malpighiales; Euphorbiaceae.